UUCAGAACUGGAGAAGCUCCAUGCUGGGCUUAGUAAGCCUUUUUUCACUCCAAUUCUCCCAUAAUUCAUGUUCAAGAUGUAAUGAAUGGAUCAAUUUGUUUUCGAGCACCUUGUAAACAUGCUGUUAGAGGUAAGCUCUGCGCAAUGGAGAUCAUAAAAUAUGAGGAGAGUAGUAUAUAUUUUAAAAAUUGAUAAUCAUUCAAUGCUAGACAUUUUGGUUGAUCUACUCUUUGUUUCUUAUUCUAUUAUUGAUCAUGAAUAUAUGGUAGAGACUGUGUUCGGCUUGCACGUCCAUCUAUUAUAUGGAGCUACUAGAGAAAAAUGCAAAUAUUUUUUUAGUAAUUCAAAAAUUCUUAAAGCAGGUGUGGUUAUUAGACAAUGAAUGUAGGGAAAAACUUGCAGACUGGUAUAUAUUUUGUUUAAAUAGCAAAGAAAUAGAUGAUUCUUUGCAAGUUACUUUAUUUUGAAGUAAUACUAUUUAAUUUGAUCUUUAGAAGUACUUUCAAAUUAGAGCUUAAAUUUUAAAUAGUUACAAUGUAAAUUUUUAUCUUUGUAAAUCAUCACACUUAAAAAGUUCAAUCGCAAAAUUUUCAUUUCUGAAUUUUAUAAAUAA
RNAcentral lists this unclassified non-coding RNA (613 nucleotides) under Hevea brasiliensis (rubber tree). Lineage: Eukaryota; Viridiplantae; Streptophyta; Magnoliopsida; Malpighiales; Euphorbiaceae. The record is from RNAcentral.